Molecule: RNA transcript, 3753 nt
Organism: Rhineura floridana
Lineage: Eukaryota; Metazoa; Chordata; Lepidosauria; Squamata; Rhineuridae
Exons: 4
Source: RefSeq, a predicted model, not a curated record
CCUUGUACUGGCUUCUGCUAGCACACUGAGUUAGUUGAAUAAGACCCGAUAAAUUGUUUGUUGCCAGAGGCAGCGUAAUCCCAACCAUUUCUUCUCAGUAGUAAGUCUCACUGAAUUCAAUGGCGCUUACUCCCAGAGACAACUGGAUUUUAUGCUGAUUGCAUCCAUGCAGAAUUCAAGGUGUCGGCUUUGGGCAGCAGCAUCAAGGAGUGUGCAGCCUUGCCUCCUGCAAUCUUGGGACAUUUGGAUCCAGUAUUCGGAUCAGAGGUGUUUCCAUAACAGGAAUCAGAAUGCUCUCUUCUGAUCCUUCCAAGCUUGGACCAGGUGUUUUUAUUCCAUGGUAUGCGCAAAACUCAAUAGCAUUCUUCAAAUGCUUGAAAGGUUGUCACACUGAGGAAGGCCAGGAUCUCUUCUCGAUCGUUCCAGAGUGCAAGACACAGAAUAAUGGGCUCAAGUUACAGGAAGCUAGAUUUCAACUGAACAUCAAGAAAAACAUCUUAACUGUUAGAGCGGUACGACAAUGAAACCAGUUACCUAGGGAGGUGGUGGGCUCUCCAACACUGCAGAUCUUCAAGAAGCUGCUGGACAGGCACCUGUCGGGUUCUCGAAAUCCUCAUCCUCCUCGUCCUGGUCAUGGGUGAAGAGCGAGUCCAGCAGUGCUUUCCGGCCGCACACCUCCAAGGCCCAGCCCAGGUACCUCUCCAAGCGGUGGCACAGCACCUCCAGCUCCGCCUUGGCCAGCACCGGACUGCUAGGGAAGAGCAGCGCCCACAGGCCGCUGUAGCUGCCCAGGGCCGGGGGCAGGGCUGGGAAGCAAGGCUCCAGCAGUGGGUUCAAGGCCGCCAGCUGCUGGUGGAUGCCCUGCAAGGCCUGUGGGGAGUACAAGCCAGCCCAGCUCAUCUGCUGCGAGUUGCCACCACCACUGCUUGCUCCUCCUGCAAGGUCCGGUUGUGGCAGGUCGUCACCGCGAACUUGCUCUCGACGCCAUUCGCGCCCUUCUCUCAUGGCGCUCACGCCUCCCUCAUGUGUUAGCGCAGCGUGCACGCCGCACAGACAGGGCAGCUCUCUGCCGUCCACCCGCCCCACUUCCUGGUGCCUAGGGGUGGGGUGGCUCUGGGUGAUACCCCCCUCUCAUGGUGUCACCCUGGUGCGGUCCGCACUCCCCGCACCCAGCUAGUGAUGCCACUGGUGUCACAUUUUGCAUAAAAUGAUGGUGACAAAUCAGGUUGAAAGUGAAGUACAACACUUAUAAAAGUUUAAUCCUGUUUUAAUGCUGAUUUUAUAUGUUUAUAUGCUUUAUAUUUUAUAGGUUCUUAAUGAUAUGUACUUAUUUUUAUCUGGAAGCCGCCUUGAGUUCCAGUUUGGAAAAAGGGCAGGGUAUAAAUAAAGAUAAUAAAAUAAUAAAUAAUAAUCAGCUGUUACCACAUCAAAAAUGACUAGGGCUGCCAUCCAAUACAUGUCUAUUCAGAAGUAGGCUCCAUUCAAUUCAAAUGGACUUGAAAAAAAAUGGAAAUGGACUGCCUUCAAGUCGAUUCUGACUUAUGGCGAUCUAUGAAUAAGGUUUUUGUCAGCUCUACACUGCCUCAGCAGUGUCAGGGGGGGCUGGAAAUUCCUGGGUCUUUGGCAGGGAAGGAAAGUCCUUAGCCAGCAGUCGGGUUGUAAAUCUGCCAGGCCUAUCCGAAGCAUACUUGCCGAGUCAGAAGUCCAGAAGUGAGGUCAGUGGAGGUCCGGGAUCAAUUGCCAAGGAGGUCAGUCAAAGAGAUGCUGCAGGGAAACUAGGUCUACACAAAGCCACGCCUGACGUUGCAGUCAGCAACAAGCUGCAGCCAAGGUGUGCCUUAUAAAGAGCAGGAUGGACAGCAGGUGUGAGCCCUCAGCGUUUGGGCCUUAAGGAGACAGGCCUGCCUCUCUUCUGCCUGACCUUCUGCUGUCUACGUUCUGCAGGUGAGGGGGGAGUAUCCUGUUCACUGUCUGUGUCUGGCUGCAGGGCCUCUGCUGUCCCUGGGGUGCUCUGCAGCUGAGGGGCAGAAGGAGCUGGAUUCUCAGGAGGCUCCUCCGUGUCUCCUGCUGCUCCUGGGUCUGCUGCUGUUACUCCCGAGUCAUCCUCAUCUGAGGAGUCCUCUGACGGGGCCAUGACACUUUUCAUGGUAAGCAGUAUUCAGAGGUGGUUUACCAUUGCCUUCCUCUGAGGCGGAGAGGCAGUGACUGGCCCAAGGUCACCCAGUGAGCUUCAUGGCUAUGUGGGGAUUCAAACCCAUAGUCCAACACUCUAACCACUAUACCACACUGGCUCUCUCAAAUGGACUUACUUCCAGGUAAUUGCCUAUUGGAUUGCAGCCUAAGUCUCUGGCAAAAAUUUCAUUUAAGAAACAAAACAAAACAAAAUACCCUUCUUGUAAAAGUGGCGUCAUUACUUAGGGAGUCCAAAACUCUUAGUGAAUUUGCCAAGCACAUUUCAGCAUAUUUGAGUCUGAGUCUUGGGGAGUCUGAAUGAACUCCAAGCACAGAAAUUAUAAUAAAAGUAAAAUUUUGUUAAUUUGAGGAAAUCAGAAUUUACAUGGCAUUAAAGGCAUAAAGAGUGCUCUUUGCACUCAGGACCUCCUUGCGGACUUCCCAUCUGGUUGGCCACUGUGUGAACAGGAUGCUGGACUAGAUGGGCCACUGGCCUGACUCAGCAACCUCUUCUUAUGUUCUUAACAGGUUCAAAACUGGUGUCAAAAACAGUUAUAAUGACCUAUGAUAUUAAUCUGACAAGGAGAUUCUUGUGUCCUUGGUUACACAGACUAAUUCUAAACAGUGGAGGCUGGUCCAUUAGGGUGAAUGGGGCACUGCCCUACCAGCUGCAGUCUGCCCUAAGCCAUCCCCCACCUGCCUGCUUUCCUACUUACAACUGGUCCAGAGAGUGGCACUGCCUGUCGGUUUCCUCCUUCUUGGUCUCAGUGUUGCCCUUGUAGAACUCAGCAGGGAGGUAUGGACAAAACUGGAAUAAGCUAGCUCUGCCUGUCAUUGGCUGUAUUGGAAAAUUGCAGAAGAUCUUGAGGGGUUAGGUGGAAUCCAACAACUUAUCCUGUUAAUGCCCUAUCUGGAGCCAAUAUGAAGACCUGAAACUGCUUAAUAAUAUGCUUUUAUAUAUUGUAAGCAUGUGUCAUUGUAAUAAGAAGAAGCCUUAAGUCUGUGCAGAGUCAGGAUGGCAACUUGUAAGGAGAAGUCUGUGAGGAAUAGGUAGGGUCACAUAGACUGUCAGGAGAAGGGGGGCUACUGGGCAGUAUAGGGGAUGUGCCCAGGAAGCUUAUAUAUAGAAAUAAGCUGCCAGGCUGACUCAUGGAGCAGUCAGAUGACUAGACGUCUAAAUGAGCACAAGGCUGGCACAAGUCUUGUGUUGAUUGGCUGGGCAAACCCCUUUGAGUCAACCGGUAGGGGAUGACGCCAGCCCUUAGGAAGUGAAGACAGCCUAUGAGCUUACAACUAAGGGGAAGGACUUAGCUGUGUGACAUGGCCCACUAGUAUAUAAAUGAUGGCAGCCAACUGCUCUAAUGAGACUCUAUGCACAUAUGUUAAGUUAUGGGAUAGGAGGAGGGGAGUACAUGAUUCAACCCCAGAGACAUUCAACCCCUUCUGCUAAGCUCUAGAGAUAGGAGUCUCUAGACAGGAGCUUAAUCAGGUUGUAUAUUAGCAUCUGCUCUGUUAAUGCUAAGUAACUCUGUAGUGCUGAGUUGCUCUCUUAUUCUGUUAUCUCAUGAAUAAACUGUGUUA